Molecule: non-coding RNA, 54 nt
Organism: Larimichthys crocea (large yellow croaker)
Lineage: Eukaryota; Metazoa; Chordata; Actinopteri; Sciaenidae
Source: Rfam
CACUAAAAAAUAUGUAAGUCGCUUUGGAUAAAAGCGUCUGCUAAAUGCAAUGUA